RNAcentral lists this transfer RNA (72 nucleotides) under Cavia porcellus (domestic guinea pig). It matches the Rfam family "tRNA". From Rfam's summary of the family: Transfer RNA (tRNA) molecules are approximately 80 nucleotides in length. The record is from Rfam by way of RNAcentral. Lineage: Eukaryota; Metazoa; Chordata; Mammalia; Rodentia; Caviidae.
AUGGCUAUAGCUCAGUGACACAGCGCCUGCCUGGCAAGUGCGAGGUCCUGAGUUCAAUUCUCAGUACUCAAA